This 75-nucleotide transfer RNA is filed under the name Alosa alosa (allis shad). RNAcentral describes it as "tRNA-OTHER". Lineage: Eukaryota; Metazoa; Chordata; Actinopteri; Clupeiformes; Clupeidae. The record is from RNAcentral.
GCAGCCGUGGCCUACUGGUCAGGGCUUUGGGCUUGUGACCGGAGGGUUGCCGGUUUGAUCCCCGACCCAGAAGUG